AAUAAUAGAUUUGAAAUAUUUAUAAAAAAGAUUUAAAGGGAUAAUCAUAGAAUACAAAAGCUAUUAAUAGUAAAGGUUACUAAUAAAAUAAAAAUAUUUUUAAAACCUAAGGGAAACCUAAUAAAAAACUAAGUGAACUGAAACAUCUAAGUAACUUAAGGAAAAAAAAUCAACCGAGAUAUCAUAAGUAUUGGUGAGAGAAAAUGAUAAAUAGUCAUAUUAUAAAAAUUUAUAAUAAAAAAGUAUUAUGUAAAAAAAUAUGUAAGAAAAUAGGACAAACUAGUUCUAAGACUAAAUACUAUUAAUAAGCAAAAUAAGUACCGCAAGGGAAAGUAUGAAAAUGGUUAUUCUAUAAGCAGUUAUAGAUAAAAAAAGUCAAUAACGUACCUUUUGUAUAAUGGGUCAGCAAGUAAUUAAUAUUAGCAAAAUAAAAAAAUUAAAAAUAAAUUGAAUAUAAAAAAAUUGUGAAAAAGUUAAUAUUAAUUGACCCGAAAGCAAAUGAUCUUAUUAUGACAAGACGGAAAAAAUUAACAAAAAAUUAAUAAAACGGUCGAACAGGUUGAUGUUGCAAAAUCAUCUGAUUAGUUGUGAUAAGUGGUGAAAGACAAAUCUGAUUUGCAGAUAGCUGGUUUUCUAUGAAAUAUAUGUAAGUAUAGCCUUUCUAAAUAUAAUUAUUAAUAAUAAUAAUCUAAAUUUCUUAUUAUUAAAGAACGGUACAGCUACAAAUAUCAAUAAUUUUGAAUAACAAAAUUAUUAUUUGGGGAACUAUUGCAGUUUUAUCAAAGAUAUUAGAUCUCGAAAUGUUUAAUUAUAUAGAUAAAGAGUCAGACUAUGCGCGAUAAGGUGAAUAGUCUAAAGGGAAACAGCCCAGAUUAAGAUAUAAGGUUCCUAAUUAGAUAAUAAGUGAAAAAAAUAUUAAAAUAUUAUAAUACAAUCAGUUGAUGGGUUUGACAAUAACCAUUCUUUAAUGAACAUGUAACAAUGCACUGAUUUAUAAAUAUAUAUAAUAUUUCAAAUUAUAAUAAUAAUAUUUAAUUAUUAUUAUUAUAUUAAUAAAUAAUAUACGGAUCUUAAAAAAAAAAUAUAAUUAUCUAACCGAAUAUCUAAAUAUUAUUAUAUAAAAUAAAUAUAAUAAUAUGGUAAUAGAACAUCUAAUGAAAAAUAUUAUUAAUUAAGUUAAUUAAUAAUAAAAAAAAAUAAAAAAAGGUAAUUAGAUAGAGAAUGCUGACAUGAGUAACGAAAAAAAGGUAAAAACCUUUUCACCUAAAGCAUAAGGUUUAACUAUAAAAGUACGGCCCUUAAGUUAAAUAAGAAUAAAAAUAUAUUAACGAUAGGAUAAAUCUAAAUAAAAAAAAGAUCAACUUAAUUAUUAUUAAUAAAAAAAUAAUAAACUAAUAAAGUUCAAGAAAUAAAUUUUAUGAAUACCGUAAUGUAGACCGACUCAGGUAUGCAAGUAGAGAAUAUGAAGGUGAAUUAGAGAAUUAAAGGGAAGGAACUCGGCAAAAAAAGCUCUAACGUUAGUCAAUAAAGAGAAAUAAAAACAAAGUUGUCCAACUGUUUACUAAAAACACCGCACUUUGCAGAAACGAUAAGUUUAAGUAUAAGGUGUGAACUCUGCUCCAUGCUUAAUAUAUAAAUUAAUAAAUUAAAAAGAUGAAUUAAUUAAAGUUAGGUAAAUAGCAGCCUUAUUUUGAGGGUUCUAAGGUAGCGAAAUUCAUUGUCCACUAAUUAUGGUCCUGCAUGAAUGACGUAAUGAUACAACAACUGUCUCCCCUUUAAGCUAAGUGAAAUUGAAAUCGCAGUGAAGAUGCUGUGUACCUAUAGUGUGACGGAAAGACCCUAUGCAGCUUUACUGUAGUUAGAUAGAUCGAAUUAUUAUAUAUCAUAUUCAGAAUAUUAAGUAAUUGUUUAAAUAUUAAUGAGAUACUUAUUAUGAUAUUAUAUAUAAAUUUCAUAUUUAUAUUAUAAUAAUUCUAAUCCUAUAUAAUAUAUUUAAUAGAUAAUUCUUAAAUAUAAUAAUAUAAUUAAUUUUUAUAUUAAUUUAUAUUAUUAUUAGGAGACAAUCUCUAAUUGGUAGUUUUGAUGGGGCGUCAUUUUCAGCAAAAAUAUCUGAAUAAGUCCAUAUACAUAUUAUAAUAUUAUUAAUAAUAAAAAAAAUAUAAAUUAUAUAUAUUAAUUGUAAAUAGGGAUAUAUUUAUAUUUAUAUAAAUAUAUCUUAGUAAUAGAAUAAAAUAUGUACAGUAAAAUUGUCUGGAAAACAAUAAUAAUAAUAUAAAAAAUUUUAUAUUAUAUAAUAAAAUGUAUUAAAUUAAUAUAAUGGUAUAACUGUGCAACAAUUGUAACACAAACAAGUGAAACAAGUACGUAAGUAUGGCAUAAUGAACAAAUAACACUGAUUGUAAAGGUUAUUGAUAACGAAUAAAAGUUACGCUAGGGAUAAACUACCCUAUUGUCCCAUUAUAUUGUGAAAUAUAAUUAUCCUUUUCUUCCUUUAUUUUAUUUUAUUUUAUUUUAUAGGAAGAAAAUGGAGUAAAUUGGGUGAAUUGCAAGAAUAUCCUAAUAUUAUUAUAUAAAUAAAAUAAAUAAUAUUGGACAAUUUGCAGCGAAGUUUAUAACAACCUUCAUUAUUAUUAAUUUCUAUAAAUAAAAAAUAAAUAAAAAUGGUUAUAAAAACGUUCAACGACUAGAUAAUGAGUUAGGUUAACAAUAAUUUAUCCACGAGUGCCCAAUAUCAAAUAAUUAAUAAUUAUUUGAUAAUGACAUAGUCUAAACAAUUUGGUAACAAAUUGAUAAAUACUAAAAUUUAUAUAUAUAUAAUAAAAAAUAUUAAUAUAAAUUUUAUAAAAAUAAAAAUAUUUAUAAAAUAAUAAAUUGAACAGGGUAAUAUAGCGAAAGAGUAGAUAUUGUAAGCUAUGUUUGCCACCUCGAUGUCGACUCUACCUAUCCUCUUGGUUGUAAGUGCUAAGAAGGGUUUGACUGUUCGUCAAUUAAAAGGUAACGUGAGUUGGGUUAAAUACGAUGUAAAUCAGUAUGGUUCCUAUCUACUAUAGGUAAUAUUAUCAACUUAAGACUCAUUCUUAGUACGCAAGGAUCAGAAUGAAUUAACCUAUGGUGUAUCUAUUGAUUAUUAUAUAAUAUAUUUAUAUUUUAUAUAUAUAUAUUAUCUAUAUUAGUUUAUAUUUUAAUAAUAGUCACAGUAGAUAAGCUAAGUUAAUAAAAAAUAAAUAUUGAAUGCAUAUAAAAUAUGAAGUUGCCUUAAGAUGAGAUAAUUAUCUGAUUAUUUUAUACUAAAAU
RNAcentral lists this ribosomal RNA (3294 nucleotides) under Lachancea kluyveri. RNAcentral's name for it is "21S ribosomal RNA". The stretch from base 38 to 1793 matches the Rfam family "Bacterial large subunit ribosomal RNA", at positions 15 to 2044 of the family's 2925-position model. The record is from RNAcentral. Lineage: Eukaryota; Fungi; Ascomycota; Saccharomycetes; Saccharomycetales; Saccharomycetaceae.